ACAAUAAAUUCUGUAGUAAUCUUUUUAAACAACCUCUUUUCAAGGUAAUAAUCAAAUUAUAUUCUACAACCAACUAAAAUCUACUAACAUGGCUUUUACCAUGUUACUUAAUAAAUUAUAUAUUAGGUACAUAAUUAUAUUAUUUUCAUACAGUAGCCGAACCACAACACGUCAAUGUACACAAUAAGCAAGUAUCAAGUGAAUAAUGCCUCAUAACCUACACUUAAGAGUCUUAUCAAGAAGAUAGGUACUCACCAAAAUCUCGACAAGAGCAUGGAUUCAAUUAAAAGAUCUAUUGUACCACAAUUGCUACUA
Molecule: long non-coding RNA, 315 nt
Filed under: Physcomitrium patens
Lineage: Eukaryota; Viridiplantae; Streptophyta; Bryopsida; Funariales; Funariaceae
Description: long non-coding RNA (PPAT_LNC000335)
Source: RNAcentral